This 419-nucleotide ribosomal RNA is filed under the name bacterium. RNAcentral's name for it is "partial 16S ribosomal RNA". It matches the Rfam family "Bacterial small subunit ribosomal RNA", at positions 355 to 776 of the family's 1533-position model. The record is from RNAcentral.
UGGGGGAUAUUGCACAAUGGGCGAAAGCCUGAUGCAGCGACGCCGCGUGGGGGAUGAAGGCCUUCGGGUUGUAAACUUCUUUUGCUCUGAACAAGGCGCACCAUGGGGUGUGUUGAGUGUAGGGGUUGAUUAGCGCCGGCUAACUACGUGCCAGCAGCCGCGGUAAUACGUAGGGCGCGAGCGUUGUCCGGAAUUAUUGGGCGUAAAGGGCUUGUAGGUGGCUGGUUGCGUCUGUCGUGAAAGCUCAUGGCUUAACUGUGGGUUUGCGGUGGGUACGGGCUGGCUUGAGUGCAGUAGGGGAGGCUGGAAUUCCUGGUGUAGCGGAGGAAUGCGCAGAUAUCAGGAGGAAUACCGGUGGCGAAGGCGGGUCUCUGGGCUGUUACUGACACUGAGAAGCGAAAGCAUGGGGAGCGAACAGG